Molecule: ribosomal RNA, 141 nt
Filed under: Staphylococcus hominis
Lineage: Bacteria; Bacillati; Bacillota; Bacilli; Caryophanales; Staphylococcaceae
Also listed under: 2 other names
Description: partial 23S ribosomal RNA
Rfam family: Bacterial large subunit ribosomal RNA
Source: RNAcentral
UAAGCAUGAAGCCCCCCUCAAGAUGAGAUUUCCCAACUUCGGUUAUAAGAUCCCUCAGAGAUGAUGAGGUUAAUAGGUUCGAGGUGGAAGCGUGGUGACACGUGGAGCUGACGAAUACUAAUCGAUCGAAGACUUAAUCAA